CCCUUAUUAUAUAUGGUGUAUUUGAUUUGGUCAAGUUUUCGAUGUGAGACUUCAAUAUUCUUCACCUAUUUAAACAAUGGAUAAUGUUAAACCGUAUUUUGUAGCUGGGAAAUACAUAUAAUGGUGCAAGAAUUAUGGUUGAUAUUGUGCUAUAAUUUUUUCACAGUUAAUUAAUUUCUUCAAAAAUUCCUUGACGUCCAUGGAUCAAUAUAAAUUCUCAAUUUUGAAUUUGUCAAGGCUGUCUGGUAACGUAUUAAAUUUGUCCUCUUUCUGUUGAUAUAUAAGGCUCUAUAUGCAUGUUAAAUUAAGAGAGCUAGGAAAGGAAAUAAGAAACUAAUUAAUAUGGGUAAGGCACAAAGCUCCUCCUACUUUGUGAUCUUGGCACUUUCUAUAGCUGUGAAUCUGUUAUUGGUUUUCCAAUUCUGUGUGGAUGGAGAGUGGAGACUCACUUGGAGUAAAAGAGCAGCAGAAGAAGCUGAGCGUGUGGCAGCCAUUCCUUGCUCAGGCCAUGGAACAGCCUAUUUGGAUGGGUUGGUUCUUGAUGGGAAGGAACCAGUUUGUGAGUGUAAUUCUUGCUAUGAAGGCCCAGAUUGCUCUGAGUUUGUAACUGAAUGUGCAGCAAAUGCUGACAGUGGAGACCCGUAUUUCUUGCAGCCAUUUUGGAUGCAACAUGCAGCCCAAAGUGCAGUUUUAGUAGCAGGGUGGCAUCGGAUGGGAUAUAGCUACCCUGAUGGCUCUUACAUCUCAGCAGAGCUAGAGGGGCACAUCCGUAAAUUGCAUGCCACUGUGGGAAAUGCAGUAACUCAAGGAAGAUACAUUGUGUUUGGUGCUGGGUCAACCCAACUUCUCAAUGCUGCAGUUCAUGCAUUGUCUUCUCAUAAUUCUUCCAACUCCUCCUCACCUGCAAGUGUUGUAGCUACAAUUCCUUAUUACAGGCUUUACAAAACGCAAACGGAAUUUUUUCGAUCAUUGGACUACAGGUUUGAAGGAGACACAUUCUCAUUUCUUAAUAUUUCAGAAGCUGGCAAAGUUAUUGAGUUUGUAACCUCACCAAACAAUCCUGAUGGAAAGCUGAAUAAGGCAGUUCUUCACGGCCCCAACGCCUCUGCAAUUUAUGAUCCUCUGCAAUUUAUGAUCGGGUCUAUUACUGGCCACAUUUUACAGCAAUUCCGAAUCCAGCUGAUGAUGAUCUUAUGCUAUUUUCACUUUCCAAACUCACUGGUCAUGCUGGUUCUAGAUUCGGAUGGGCAGUGAUAAAGAACGAGUCUGUGUACCAAAAGAUGACGGAGUAUAUGAGUUCAAGUAGCAUGGGUGUUUCUCGAGAUGCUCAGCUAAGAGCUUUGAAGCUUAUCAAUGUGGUGCUUGAAACUAGAGGCAAGCAAAUCUUUGAAUUUGGAUUCCACACCAUGAGGAAUCGCUGGGAAAGCUUGAGCAAAAUCUUGUCUUUGUCAAACCGAUUUUCUCUGCAGAAACUUGGACCCCGAUACUGCACUUAUUUUCAGAAAAUUAGAGGACCCUCACCAGCAUAUGCGUGGGUGAAGUGUGAGAGGGAAGAGGAUACAGAUUGCUAUGAAGUCCUCAAAGCAGCCAAUAUUACUGGGCGUAGCGGAAGCCAAUUUUCAGCUCCAGACCGCUAUGUACGUCUCAGCCUCAUAAGGAGCCAAGAUGACUUUGAUAUAUUGAUUCAGCGACUAACCCAGUUGGUCUCAGAAGAAAGACAGCAGCAAAACCAUGCAAACAAUUUCUUGCAGCUCAAGAAGCCUCUGAUGAGCACCCUAAGAAGGGGUCUUGUCUAUUAACAAUUAUCACCUUCACAGUCUAUCAAAUGAAUAAGAAAAUUCCACCACAUAUGUACAUAUUAUUAAAUUGAAUAAUUAUCAACUUUACGUACACUCAUCGUCAGUUUUUUUCUUUUUAACAUUCUAUAAAAUUGAAUAAAUUGUGGGGUUCAUAUGUUA
Molecule: RNA transcript, 1958 nt
Organism: Prunus dulcis (almond)
Lineage: Eukaryota; Viridiplantae; Streptophyta; Magnoliopsida; Rosales; Rosaceae
Gene name: tryptophan aminotransferase-related protein 4-like
Exons: 5
Source: RefSeq, a predicted model, not a curated record